UACGGAGGGUGCGAGCGUUGUCCGGAAUCACUGGGCGUAAAGGGCGCGUAGGCGGCGCGAGCAGUCGAUCGUGAAAGUCCGGAGCUCAACUCCGGAUCGGCGGUCGAUACUCUCGUGCUUGAGCACUGUAGAGGCAGAUGGAAUUCCGGGUGUAGCGGUGGAAUGCGUAGAGAUCCGGAAGAACACCGGUGGCGAAGGCGGUCUGCUGGGCAGUUGCUGACGCUGAUGCGCGACGGCGUGGGGAGCAAACAGG
RNAcentral lists this ribosomal RNA (253 nucleotides) under uncultured bacterium. RNAcentral describes it as "partial 16S ribosomal RNA". It matches the Rfam family "Bacterial small subunit ribosomal RNA", at positions 524 to 776 of the family's 1533-position model. The record is from RNAcentral.